GAAGUGUCUAGGCUAGGGGCUGAAUCAGAGCUGCAGCUGCCGGCCUACGCCACACCCACAGCAAUGUGGGGUCCAAGCUUCAUCUGCAACCUGUACCACAGCUCACAGCAACACUGGAUCCUUAACCCACUGUGCCAGGCCAGGGAUUGAACCCACAUCCUCAUGGAUACUAGUUGGGUUCGUUACUGCUGAGCCACAUGGAAACUCCAAGAUUUUAUUUUUGACGUUUAAAAGAACUCAUGGAAACUGAGGAUAAAAAUAAAAUAACCUUUUAGAAAAAAAAUGGACAAAAGAUAGGAAGAGCUUAUGGAAAAGAAGGAAAAAUGAUUCUUAUAUAGUUGAAUAGAUGCUUAGAAAUUUUUAUAAUAAAAAAUACAAAAAAGGAGUUCCCUGGUGGCUCAGGGGGUUAAGGAUCCAACACUGCCACUGCUGUGGCUUGGGCUCAGGAAAUUCCACAUGCCUCAGAUGUGGCCAAAACACAAAACUGUAGUGCGAUACUGUUUCUUAUUUAUUAUAUUGGUAGAGUGGCCGACCAUCCUGAUUUUUCCCAGUACUGUCCAGGUUUUAGCGCGGAAAAUCCUCUGUCCCCAGAAACCCUUCAGUCCUCAGCAGACCAGGGUGGUUGGCUCUCCUACAUAUUGGCAGAAAUCCAAAAAUGGAACCAUACAUUCUUUUGACAAGGCUGUGUGGAAGCUGGCUGUCUUCUUGGCAGUAGGAAUGCAGAAUUGUAAAAUGCCUCUGGAAGAGGAUUUGUCUGUAUCUUGCAAAUUUUUAUAUGCUUCUAUUUUUUGGAUCUGGAAUCACAUAUCUAGGAAUCUGUCUUAAAGAUAUGCUGGCAAAAAUAUGAAGUGACUUAUGCAAAAAUCUAUUCAUUGCAGAACUAUUAUAGUAGAAAAACUAGAAACACCUGUCUGUCCAUCCCAGGAGUGAGUGCACAUACGGAGCCCUGUACAGCUGUCACACGGAGAGUCAGUCUAGUGUGUGAUUCAGGUCAGGACAAUGGUCAGCACCUUUUGGAACUUGAGUCUUUCUGGCUGCUGGUCAUCCAGUUCCUUGAACUGGAUGGUGGUUGCGUGGAUGGGUUUAUUUUGUGAAAAUGUAGUGCCUUCGCUUAUGAUUUGUGUACAUUUCUGUAUGGUAUUUGAGGUUAGUAACAAUGUUUCUUUUUUAAAAAGAAAAGAGUAAGGAAGACCUCUGUGGAACAAGCAAGGUACAGAAUAGAAUUUGUAGUUUGUUACAUUUUAUAUAGGAAGGGCUGGAAAGAAUGAAAAAUUACAUUUGUAAUGAAGCAGUAAAGCAGAAAAUUAAUAAAGAUACAUUGAGAGGAAGCGAGCAGGAUGAAGGCACAGGGAUGGGGUGAGACUUCUGUGUGAUACUUUUUUAGGAGGUUCUUUUACGAAAUUUGGGAAAUUUUUGGCUGUAGUUUCAUGUAUUUUUAUGUCCUAUUCUCUCAUAUUCCUCUGAGAUUUCAGUUGCACGCAUGGCGGACCAAUUUAUAUUGUUGCAUAGUUCAGUGAGUCUCUCUUCAUUUUUUUUCCUUUAUAUUGUACCCACAGCGUAUGGAAGUUCCCAGUCCAGGGAUCGAGUCCAAGCCGAAGCUGUGACCUGUGCCAUCCUGCAGCUAUGCCAGAUCCUUUAACCCACUGCUCUGGGCUGGGGAUCGAAUUUGCACCCCUACAGUGACCUGGGCUGUUGCAGUCAGAUUCUUAACCCGGUGCCACAGUGGGAACUCCCCUAUUCAUUUUUAAUAAAAACCUUUUUUCUGCUGCCUCAGAUUGAUUGGUUGCUGUUUAUCUUAGGUUUACUGACACUUUCUUUUUCAGUCUCCAAUUUCAUCAACUUCAUCCAGUAUAUAUUUUUACUUCAGAUGUAUUUUUUCAGUUGUAGAAUAGUCAUUUUUGUUUUUCUAUGUAGUUUGAGUUCUCUGCUGAGAUUUUACUUUUUCACUCAUUCUCUCUAUUCUGCUUUAAGUCCUUGAACAUGCGUAUUAUAACUGCUUUGAAAGCCAUUUCUGCUGAUUUCACCACCUGAGACACCUUGGGAUUUCUUUCUUUCUCCCUGAGUUCCUAGUCGGAUUCGUUAACCACUGAGCCACGACAGGAACUCCUUUGUUAGUUUUUUUUUUUUUUUUUUAAAUAUGUCCCAGGAGUUCCUGUCAUGCUGAGCAGUAACGAACCAGACUAGUAUCCAUGAGGAUGCAGGUUUGAUCCCUGGCCUUGCUCAGUGGGUUAAAGAUCCAGUGUUCCCAUGAGCUGUGGUGUAUAUGCCCAGAUGAGGCUCAGAUCCUGCAUGGCUGUGGCUGUGGUGUAGGCCGGCAGCUGUCGUAGCUCCCAUAUGACCCCUAGCCUGGGAACCUUCAUAUGCCUCGGGAGCAGCCCUAAAAAGACAAAAAAACAAAAACAAAAACAAAAAAACUGUCCCUUUCUCUUUCAGACUUUUAAAAUUUGUGUUUUGUUUUUUGGUGCAGUGUAAAAAGUAAAUCCAAGAAAUAAUGUCACGUUACCCACGGAUACUUCACUUUUUCUAACAAAUGAGGAACCAUUUAUUUUGAAAAACAUAGCCAUCAUAGAGUUCCUACAUGGCUCAGCAGGAGUUCCCCUUGUGGCUCAGUGGAAACGAAUCUGAUUAGCAUCCAUGAGAACGCAGGUUCAAUCCCUGGACUUGCUCAGUGGGUUAAGGAUCUGGCAUUGCCGUGAGCAGUGGUGCGGGUCCAAGACGCGGCUUGGAUGUGACGUUGCUGUGGCUGUGGUGGAGGCCGGCAGCUACAGCUCCGAUUCAACCCCUANNNNNNNNNNNNNNNNNNNNNNNNNNNNNNNNNNNNNNNNNNNNNNNNNNNNNNNNNNNNNNNNNNNNNNNNNNNNNNNNNUUGAUUUGUUUUAUUUUUUUAUUUUUGAUUUUUUUUUUGUCUUUUUAGGGCCAUACCCAUGGCAUAUGGAGGUUCCCAGGCUAGGGGUCGAAUCGGAGCUACAGCUUCCAGCCUGCACCACAGCUCAUGGCAAUGCCAGAUCCUUAACCCACUGAGCGAGGCCUGGGCUCAAACCUGCAACCUCUUGGUUCCUAGUUGGAUUGUUUCUGCUGCGCCACAAUGGGAACUCCUAGUCGAUCUGUUUUAAUUGGACCCAAACAAGAUCUAAAUAUUACAUUUGAUAAUUAUGUCUCAUAAAGCUCUUAUGUUUCAGAAUGGUAACUCCUUAUUGCUAAAGUAUAAUUUUCAAAAGUUAAAAAUCAUGAUCCAUGCAAACACAAAAUAAACAGUUCUGGGCCCUACUGGUUCGUUUUUGCUGCAUGUCUUGAAGGCAGUCAUCUCAGCAAGGACCACUAGUCAUGUUGUUUGGAAGGGUGUUUUGAGACCCACCAGGAGCGCUUGGGAGUUCUCCUCUUCUGACGUAGCGAUGGAUCAUCAGUGAGCUGCCCGGUCACCUCGCGACCAGGGUCAGCGGCCUGGUCACCUUGCCACCAGGGUCUGUGUUUCGGUAGUGUCUGGGCAUGAAGCUGGACACCUUCAGGCCCGAGAGCCUUCUCAUGUCCUUGUAUUCUAACCGUUGAGCUAGUUAAUAGUUAACAGACGUAGGACAGGUGUGUAUCAUUGGUACCCGUCUCUAGAACAGUCAAACGCAAGGAAGUUUCUAGACCCCUGAUUAUAAAAUUUGAUUAGUAAGUAAAGACAACGACUUGUUUUUCUUUUCCUUAGCAUUUUGGUAAGUUAACUUCACAAAAGCAGAACCUAAGUUUUUUCCCUCUUAUUUUUCAGGUGAAGAGAUUAUAAAUCUUCUAUUGAGUGAAAAUAUUUUUCUUAAGGUUGCAUAUACGCCAAGAAAAAAUCCCAAAUGUUUUUAUAUUUUGCCUAAAUACAAAGUUUAAACAAGAAGUUUCCACGGAAGGUAAGAUAAUUUUUGUUUGAUUCUACUUUAUUGUGUAAUUUGCGUAAAUAUGCUGUAUAAGUGGACAUUCAGAGAUGGAUGACAGCAAAAAAUUUCAGUUUGAAGAUGUGCAUAGAGUUUCCUGACUUGUGGGUUUUGUUUUCUUUCCUUUUUUGGUUAUACUGGCAGCCUAUGAAAGUUCCCAGGCCAGGGAUGGAAUACGAGCCGCAUCUGCAACCUGGGCCACAGCUGCUCCACGGUGGGAAUGCCACUCCUGGGGUUUUUUUGACCCUCCUGUGUCUGGUUUUGAGAUGCCGUGUUGCGAAAAAGUGCCUUGGUCCCUCCAAGCCCAAGUGUAAUCCAGAUAAAAACGGGUGCAUUGGGCGUGUGUAGAGAGGCCCAUGCCCUGCCUUACCUGUGGGAAGGCCUCCACCUGCCAGGUGGGAUGGGGGGACUUGUGCUCCUGCAGCGGUAGGUGCUCCUGAAAGGCCUCCCAUUGCCGUCCACUGAGAGGCUGGGUAAAUGACAGAUGCGCGACCUCUUGUGAGUGCCCUGGCGCAAGCUAACUGCUCAGAGGCCGAGAGGACAAGAAGAGAUAGCACCCUUUCGCUCCUUGCUGAAGAAAGCGUAAAUCCUUUUCAGAGCAAAGCAGACUCAGUGUAGGCCCUCAGGACUCCACUGAUUAAAUGUCAGCAAACUUGAGCACACGCACACACACCUUGUGAUCGGAGUGGGCAUGAUUAGGUGCCCCAGCGAGUGCAGGCGUCCAGUACUCAGACACAGUAUAUGUGAUAAUGCGUGAAGUGUGUAAAGAAAUACAAAAUGGAAUAAAAAUUAGUAAUGAAAACCGAAGUGUCACAGUGAUCCACUUAGAACUUUCAGAAAUGAAAAAAAAAGUUGAAAUAAAAAACUCAGUACUUGUGGAUUAGACAGAUUAAACAUGACUGAAGGCAGAAGUAGUGAACUGGAAUAUAUCCCUAAAGAGGCUCUCCCGGGUGCAGCCGGGAGACGGGAGAUGGGAAGUGGCACUCAGAGAAGUGGAGGGUGAGGUGCGUGUC
Molecule: long non-coding RNA, 4918 nt
Filed under: Sus scrofa (pig)
Lineage: Eukaryota; Metazoa; Chordata; Mammalia; Artiodactyla; Suidae
Description: lncRNA (ENSSSCG00005028127.1)
Source: RNAcentral